UACGUAGGUGGCAAGCGUUGUCCGGAAUUACUGGGCGUAAAGGGCGCGUAGGCGGACCGACAAGUCAGGGGUGAAAGGCCUGGGCUCAACCUGGGGACUGCCUUUGAAACUGUUGGUCUUGAGUCCGGGAGAGGAUGGCGGAAUUCCCAGUGUAGAGGUGAAAUUCGUAGAUAUUGGGAAGAACACCGGUGGCGAAGGCGGCCAUCUGGUCCGGCACUGACGCUGAGGCGCGAAAGCGUGGGGAGCAAACAGG
This 253-nucleotide unclassified non-coding RNA is filed under the name uncultured Alphaproteobacteria bacterium. RNAcentral describes it as "contains 16S-23S intergenic spacer region". It matches the Rfam family "Bacterial small subunit ribosomal RNA", at positions 524 to 776 of the family's 1533-position model. Lineage: Bacteria; Pseudomonadati; Pseudomonadota; Alphaproteobacteria. The record is from RNAcentral.